CCCCCACAAUGGGACUGAAACACGGCCCAUACUCCUACGGGAGGCAGCAGCAGGGAAUAUUGCACAAUAGGCGAAAGCCUGAUGCAGCGACGCCGCGUGAGUGAAGAAGGCCUUCGGGUCGUAAAGCUCUGUUGUAGGGGAAGAGGAAGGACGGUACCCUAAGAAGAAGCGUCGGCUAACUACGUGCCAGCAGCCGCGGUAAGGCGUAGGACGCGAGCGUUAUCCGGAAUUACUGGGCGUAAAGGGCCAGCAGGCGGCUUGGUAAGUUGUGCGUGAAAGCCUCGUGCUCAACGCGAGGAAGCCGGACAAUACUGUCAAGCUAGAGGGCAUCAGAGGGGAGUGGAAUUCCCGGAGUAGCGGUAAAAUGCGCAGAUAUCGGGAGGAACACCGAUGGCGAAGGCAGCUCCCUGGGAUGCACCUGACGCUAAGAGGCGAAAGCUAGGGGAGCGAACAGGAUUAGAGACCCUGGUAGUCCUAGCUGUAAACGCUGGGUGCUAGGUGUGGGACGUAGAAGUUCCGUGCCGGAGCAAACGCGAUAAGCACCCCGCCUGGGAAUUACGGUCGCAAGGCUAAAACUCAAACGAAUUGACGGGGCCCCGCACAAGCAGCGGAGCGUGUGGUUCAAUUCGAUGCUACACGAAGAACCUUACCUGGGUUUGACAUGUACGUGGUACGAAGGCGAAAGCCUAAGGACCCUUCGGGGAGCGUACACAGGUGCUGCAUGGCUGUCGUCAGCUCGUGCCGUGAGGUGUCGGGUUAAGUCCCGUAACGAGCGCAACCCUUGCCCUUAGUUACAAGUGUCUAAGGGGACUGCCGGCGGGAAGCCGGAGGAAGCUGGGGAUGACGUCAAGUCAGCAUGGCCCUUAUGUCCAGGGCUACACACACGCUACAAUGGUCAGUACAAAGGGUAGCGAAGUCGCGAGGC
This 925-nucleotide ribosomal RNA is filed under the name uncultured organism. Its description in RNAcentral is "bacterial SSU rRNA". It matches the Rfam family "Bacterial small subunit ribosomal RNA", at positions 305 to 1263 of the family's 1533-position model. The record is from RNAcentral.